UACGAAGGGGGCUAGCGUUGCUCGGAAUCACUGGGCGUAAAGGGUGCGUAGGCGGGUCUUUUAAGUCAGGGGUGAAAUCCUGGAGCUCAACUCCAGAACUGCCUUUGAUACUGAGGAUCUUGAGUUCGGGAGAGGUGAGUGGAACUGCGAGUGUAGAGGUGAAAUUCGUAGAUAUUCGCAAGAACACCAGUGGCGAAGGCGGCUCACUGGCCCGUUACUGACGCUGAGGCACGAAAGCGUGGGGGAGCAAACAGG
Molecule: ribosomal RNA, 255 nt
Filed under: uncultured bacterium
Lineage: Bacteria
Description: partial 16S ribosomal RNA
Rfam family: Bacterial small subunit ribosomal RNA
Source: RNAcentral